CUUCCUGAGGGGGAUAUGAGAAAGCAAUGGUCUCAUCUUUCCCUUUUGUAACGGUUCCUCUGCAGAUGUCUAAUGAGGUCUAAUGAAAGCUGCAUCUCACAAAGGACAGUGGUAAUACCAAUUUGAAACAGAUUGCUAAACGCACAUUCAGGGUCCUGAGGUCAAUGGGUUUUUUGACUUGAAAUAAGCUUUUACUUGUCUUGUAAAAGGCGGUCGCUAAUAAGUGGCUAAAUGGACUACAGAAGCUGCCGGGGACAUUAAACGUCAUCAGCCGAACAGUUCAAGGUGAGCAGCAUUGGACGGUUCCUUAAGAAAAUCCAUCCAGCUGAAUAAUUGAAGUGUCUGAAAACCAUCCAUGAAUAUGCAAGAGGGGAAUCAAAGUGUCUCAACCUCUCUCUUCCAUUGGCCUCCUCUGGGAUUCAACAGCACAUCUGGGCUGCAGAGGAAGAAACACUCAUUGUACAGCACUAAAGACCUCUGCCUCAGCAUGAUGGGUGUUACUGAAAUUAAAUUAAAUAAAAUUUAAUCAAAUCAAAUGUGCUAAUGGGCUGAUAGCAAGAUAUGUGUGUGCCACUGCUUGUAAUAAACAUGUAAUAGCCAUGCAGGAGAUUUAACCAGCAUGUUGACCUAUUUGGUUAAUGUAAUAUGCAAUCAUAUUUAAAAGCAUGUGCAUGAAUUAUAAUCAAUUAUUUUAUUUUUGUAUAAAUUUGUAAGCCACAUUGUAUAAAUUCAAAAUGUAAAAUCAUCAAUUACUGAUGGCUAUUUUAGUAUGUCUUGUGUGUUUCACUCACAUUCAGAUUUCUGUUUCACAGUUGCAAAACUGAUUUUCUCCGAUUGUGUAAUUUUAAAUAAAUUGAACAUAAUAAUGUUUAAUGUAUACAAGAAGCUGUAAGAAAUUAAAGUCACUCUUUUGGACAGUUCAUCUGUAGGAGGAAUUGCAAAUCCAAUGUAAAUUUCAGACAGGCCUUCCACAAGAAUGGUCUAAUCCCACACCUUUACUCACACAGUGUGCUAUAAGCUUGAAUCAGGAAAGAGUGGAAUUAUCAAACAUGGAAGAGGGUUUAGAUUAGUCCAUAAGGAGGUUCAUUUGCAUAAGCAUAAGCACACACACAGACUCGGCUGCUUUACUUUUCAUGAAUAAAUGUCCGCAAUAAGUGGAGGUUUAGGAGUAUUGGGUUUGUUAUAUGAAAGUUUAUGCAAAAUCCACCAACUGUGAAUCAUUAGUCUGGUGUCUGUUAUAAAUGUAAUGCCCGACAUUUUCUCAAAUGCACUCUUGCUUUUAAUCAGCACUUAUUAUAUCCAAUGCUCUCAAAUAAAAUGACAUGAAUUAUAAAAUGAACAA
Ctenopharyngodon idella (grass carp) is the source of this 1342-nucleotide long non-coding RNA. RefSeq lists it as uncharacterized. The transcript is spliced from 3 exons. The record is from RefSeq and is a predicted model, not a curated record. Lineage: Eukaryota; Metazoa; Chordata; Actinopteri; Cypriniformes; Xenocyprididae.